RNAcentral lists this ribosomal RNA (254 nucleotides) under uncultured bacterium. RNAcentral describes it as "partial 16S ribosomal RNA". It matches the Rfam family "Bacterial small subunit ribosomal RNA", at positions 524 to 776 of the family's 1533-position model. The record is from RNAcentral.
UACGUAGGGACCAAGCGUUGUUCGGAUUUACUGGGCGUAAAGGGCGCGUAGGCGGCGCUGUAAGUCACUUGUGAAAUCUCCGGGCUUAACUCGGAACGGUCAAGUGAUACUGCAGUGCUAGAGUGCAGAAAGGGCAAUCGGAAUUCUUGGUGUAGCGGUGAAAUGCGUAGAUAUAGGAAGGAACACCAGUGGCGAAGGCGAGUCCCUGGAAAACUCCUAGACACUGAGGCACGAAAGCUAGGGGAGCAAACAGG